AUACGGAGGGUGCAAGCGUUAUCCGGAAUCAUUGGGUUUAAAGGGUCCGUAGGCGGGCAAUUAAGUCAGAGGUGAAAUCCCACAGCUCAACUGUGGAACUGCCUUUGAUACUGAUUGUCCUGAAUUUUAGUGAAGUAGAUAGAAUAUGUAGUGUAGCGGUGAAAUGCAUAGAUAUUACAUAGAAUACCGAUUGCGAAGGCAGUCUACUAACUAACAAUUGACGCUAAUGGACGAAAGCGUGGGGAGCGAACAGGAUUAGAAACCCUAGUAGUCC
This 274-nucleotide ribosomal RNA is filed under the name uncultured bacterium. RNAcentral describes it as "partial 16S ribosomal RNA". It matches the Rfam family "Bacterial small subunit ribosomal RNA", at positions 523 to 796 of the family's 1533-position model. The record is from RNAcentral.